This 408-nucleotide ribosomal RNA is filed under the name uncultured bacterium. RNAcentral's name for it is "partial 16S ribosomal RNA". It matches the Rfam family "Bacterial small subunit ribosomal RNA", at positions 29 to 526 of the family's 1533-position model. The record is from RNAcentral.
AGUGAACGCUGGCGGCGUGCCUAAUACAUGCAAGUCGAACGGAGUGGCGCACGGGUGGGUAAUGUAUAGCUAAUCUGCCCUACACUAGAGGACAACAGUUGGAAACGACUGCUAAUACUCCAUAGUGUAGGAUGAGGCUAUAUUGUAUCAGCUAGUUGGUGAGGUAAUGGCUCACCAAGGCUAUGACGCAUAACUGGUCUGAGAGGAUGGUCAGUCACACUGGAACUGAGACACGGUCCGGACUCCUCCGGGAAGCAGCAGAAGGGAGUAUUGCUCAAUGGGGGAAGCCCUGAAGCAGCAACGCCGCGUGGAGGAUGACACUUUGCGGAGCGUAAACUCCUUUUGGUAGGGAAGCGGUACCUAACGAAUAAGCACCGGCUAACUCCGUGCCAGCAGCCGCGGUAAUUC